Long non-coding RNA from Artibeus jamaicensis (Jamaican fruit-eating bat), 425 nucleotides. RefSeq lists it as uncharacterized. NCBI's taxonomy places the organism in Eukaryota, Metazoa, Chordata, Mammalia, Chiroptera, Phyllostomidae. The record is from RefSeq and is a predicted model, not a curated record. The transcript has 2 exons.
CCAGGGCAAGGAGGGUCGGAAGGGUGCAGCUCAGAGUUCGUCGCCGCGGAACUCAGUCUGGACUCAGGAAAGGUGUGGAUCGGGAAGCCCAGGAGUAGCCCCACACAGCAAAGACCGAGGAGAGGGAGUCAGCCGCAAGGACCGAAAAACCCUUCAGGAACAACCACCCAGAGGCCACAAAGCCCCUCAUUGUUAUUGUUAUCAUGAUUGUUAACUGUAAUUAUCCACCAUUGUCAAGGAAGUAUGUGUCUUCGUUUUACUUUUUAUAUAUGGUAAUCUUCACCACUAUAACCCUUUUAGUGUUCCCCUUUUAUUCUGAUGUAUAAAAUAAGUGGUAAAACUGCCAUUUUCCAGAGCAUUUCUCAACCCGUUAAUUUUGCUUCCUGGCAAUUGUCAGUUUGGCUCAAAUAAAAUGCUAAAAAUUC